RNAcentral lists this ribosomal RNA (382 nucleotides) under Ancula gibbosa. RNAcentral describes it as "partial 16S ribosomal RNA". It matches the Rfam family "Archaeal large subunit ribosomal RNA", at positions 2003 to 2657 of the family's 2987-position model. Lineage: Eukaryota; Metazoa; Mollusca; Gastropoda; Nudibranchia; Goniodorididae. The record is from RNAcentral.
AUCAAUGGCCGCGGUACUUUGACCGUGCUAAGGUAGCGCAAUCAAUUGGCUUUUAAUUGGAGCCAGGUAUGAAUGGAGUCACGGGGUUUAGCUGUCUCUAAAUUAAUUUAUUGAAGUUACUAUCUAGGUGAAAAAGCCUAGAAAAAGAAAAAGGACGAGAAGACCCUUAGAGUUUUCCUUAUAGUAGAUUAUUUCUAUAACAGUUUAGUUGGGGCAACAUAGGAUCAGAAUUAUAACAUCCUUAAAAUAAUUUACCGAUUAUAAUAAAUUUGAAUAAACUACCUUAGGGAUAACAGCAKAAUUUUAUAAAUAAGUUUGUGACCUCGAUGUUGGACUAGGAAACUGAAGGGCUAGCCGCCUUUUAGGAAAGUUCUGUUCGAAC